UACGGAGGGUGCGAGCGUUGUCCGGAAUCAUUGGGCGUAAAGGGCGCGUAGGUGGCUCGGUCAGCGUGCGGUGAAAGCUCGGGGCUCAACCCUGGACCUGCAUUCGAUACGGGCAGACUAGAGUUCGGCAGGGGAGACUGGAAUUCCUGGUGUAGCGGUGAAAUGCGCAGAUAUCAGGAGGAACACCGGUGGCGAAGGCGGGUCUCUGGGCCGAUACUGACGCUGAGGAGCGAAAGCGUGGGGAGCGAACAGG
Molecule: ribosomal RNA, 253 nt
Filed under: uncultured bacterium
Lineage: Bacteria
Description: partial 16S ribosomal RNA
Rfam family: Bacterial small subunit ribosomal RNA
Source: RNAcentral